RNA transcript from Trichechus manatus latirostris (Florida manatee), 4541 nucleotides. It is a transcript of the gene named nucleobindin 2, with no coding region annotated. The transcript is spliced from 15 exons. NCBI's taxonomy places the organism in Eukaryota, Metazoa, Chordata, Mammalia, Sirenia, Trichechidae. The record is from RefSeq and is a predicted model, not a curated record.
CGCGCAGUAGGUGGAGGGACCGAGCAAAGCCGCCGGCCGGGAGCGGAGAGUCGGACCAGUGUGUUGUGGGCAUACAGCAAGCGCGCCUAGGCGGGGCUGGUGGCUUUGAGCUGGGACUGCUUAAGAGUCAGUUUUUAGUGAAAAAACAUUGGGCUAGGACCAAGACCCAUCUCUUCACUAAUCUGACAUUGUGCGAGUUCUCCAACUUCUCUGGAUCUCAGUUGUCUCAUCUGUAAAGAAGAGAUAAAUAUUCUUUACCAGUCUGAAGAUGAGGUGGAAGACCGUCCUACUACAAUAUUUUCUCUUGGUUACAUGUCUGCUUACUGCUUUUGAAGCUGUGCCUAUAGACAUAGACAAGACAAAAGUAAAAAAUACUGAACCUGUGGAAAGUGCAAAAAUAGAACCACCAGAUACUGGACUUUAUUAUGAUGAAUAUCUCAAGCAAGUGAUUGAUGUGCUGGAGACAGAUAACCAUUUCAGAGAAAAGCUCCAGAAAGCAGACAUAGAGGAAAUAAAGAGUGGAAAGCUAAGCAAAGAGCUGGAUUUAGUAAGUCACCAUGUGAGGACAAAACUAGAUGAACUGAAAAGGCAAGAAGUAGCAAGGUUAAGAAUGCUAAUUAAAGCUAAGAUGGAUUCCCUUCAAGAUACAGGCAUAGACCACCAAGCUCUUCUAAAACAGUUUGAUCACCUAAACCACAUGAAUCCUGACACGUUUGAAUCCACAGAUUUAGAUAUGCUAAUCAAAGCGGCUACAAGUGAUCUGGAACACUAUGACAAGGCUCGACAUGAAGAAUUUAAAAAAUAUGAAAUGUUGAAGGAACAUGAAAGGAGAGAAUAUUUAAAAACACUGAAUGAAGAAAAGAGAAAAGAAGCAGAAUCUAAAUUUGAAGAAAUGAAGAAAAAGCAUGAAGAUCAUCCCAAAAUUAACCAUCCAGGAAGCAAAGAUCAACUGAAAGAGGUAUGGGAAGAGGCUGAUGGAUUGGAUCCUAAUGACUUUGACCUCAAGACAUUUUUCAAAUUACAUGAUGUCAAUAAUGAUGGCUUCCUGGAUGAACAAGAAUUAGAAGCCCUCUUUACUAAAGAGUUGGAGAAAGUAUAUGACCCCAAAAAUGAAGAGGAUGAUAUGAUAGAAAUGGAGGAAGAAAGACUUAGAAUGAGGGAACAUGUAAUGAAUGAGAUUGAUGCUAACAAAGACCGAUUGGUGACUCUGGAAGAGUUUUUAAAAGCUACAGAAAAAAAGGAAUUCUUGGAGCCAGAUAGCUGGGAGACAUUGGAUCAGCAACAGUUGUUCACAGAGGAAGAACUGAAAGAAUAUGAAAAUCAUAUCUCUUUACAAGAAAACGAACUUCAGAAGAAGGCAGAUGAGCUUCAGAAACAAAAAGAAGAGCUUCAACGUCAGCACGACCAACUCCAGGCUCAGAAGAUGGAAUAUCAUCAGGCCGUACAGCAGAUGGAACAAAAAAAAUUACAACAGGGAAUUCCUCCAUCGGGGCCAGCUGGAGAGUUGAAAUUCCAGCCACACGUUUAAAGUCGGAAGUCCACCAGAACCUGGAAGAAAACCAUUAACUCAGCAUCUGUUUCGUCUUUUUACCUCCUUUUCUUUUUCUCUGCUCAGUAAAUAUCUUAAAAUAUAUUUCGAAUAAAUAAAGAUACCUUUAAAAUGAGAACACGUUUUUUUUUGGACGCAGAUAUUUAAGGACUGAAAUCUGCCAGAACAAGGAAGGAAACUUAACUCAGUAUCUGCACUCACCUUCAUACCUUCCUUCUUUUUCUUUGCUGUCCUUCAAUGAUUGAAUUAAGUGGCCCUACAGUAUAAUUUAAUGAAUCUAUCAGUAAUUAUUUGAGUGAGAAUCUCUGCCUGUUGCUUUUAAAAUAAAUUGGUCUCCUUUUACUCAUGAAGAUAGAUACUCUUUCAUGGGUACAUGUCAUCCUCUCUCUCAAAACAAAAAUUACUUCAAUAUUAACAAUUCUUCUCCUAAGAAGUCUAUAGUAUUCCCAGUAUUUCCUGGUAACUUUUUCCUGCUUUCAACAACCUUAACUGUCUAAAAAUUCUUCAACUGAAUGGCUUUUAUUACUGCUUGAGAUCAUUUUUCCUUCAUAUUUUUGCUUUAUUACUUGAUCAUUUAAGAUUAGGUUUAGCUACAUAUAACAUAAAAACCAAAGAUAAUAGUGGUUUAAACUAAAUAGGAGUUUUUCUGUCUUACUUAAAAGAAAUUCUAGAAGUAUGUAGUGUCCAGAUUCCUAUCUUUCUGCUCUGCUAUCCUCAGUGUAUGUUUUUUAUUCUCAAAGUACCUCACUGUCCAAGACUGCUGCUCAAGGUAAUGGGGAAGGGCAAGAAAAGGGAGUUUCUCCAGUUGAAGCGGCUUCCUUUUAGGCAAUUUCCAAGAGACUAUACAACACUUAAACUUACAUCUCAUUGGUCAGAACUGAGUCACAGGGCCACGCCUAACUGCAGAGUAGGCUGAGAAAUCCAUGUGUUAAUAACACCGGCUAAAAGUUGUUGUUAGGUGCCAUAGAGUCGAUUUUGACUCAUAGUGACCCCAAGUGACAAAGUAGAACUGUCCCAUAGGAUUUUCUUGGCUGUAAUUUUUAUAGAGUGCCAGGUCUUUCUCCCUUGGAGAUACUGGGUGGGUUCAUACCACCAACCUUUAGGUUAGCAGCUGAGUGCUUAGCUGUUUGUGCCACCAGGGCUCCUUUAUGAUUCUGUAAAUAAGAAGGGAAAAAGGAAUGUUUGAUAAGCAACUUUGGGUUUUAACCCCAAUCAGCUUUCUUGACUACCUAAGCCUCUAGGUCCAUACUUCUGAAACACAGAAAAUACUCAUUCCACACCCUCCCCACUCCAAAGGAAACAAUCCAAUUUAUUAUCACAUACAGCUCAAAGAUCAUGAUAUCUGGGUGUAUUCUCCUCCAUCUUGUUAGGAUGUGUUUCCUUGUGUUCUGGCCAUCUACAAACUAAAAGACAGUAUUUCUGUCCCAAGAGUACCAUAUGCAUAAUGGUGCUAUAAAUGUAGGGUAACUACAAUAAAAUCUACCUUUUAUAAAAGGGAAGAAGGAGAAAUAUAGCUAUCACUGAUCCAUAGCAAUUAAAUACUGCUUGACAAAAAUAGCAAGGACUUUCUGCUCUUUCCAUGAAUAUAUAUUCCUUGGUUUACCCAUAAGACAAUCCAUGAUUCAGCUUUCUGGAAAUAACACCUUUGUCUAACGUUCUCAGGGGACUUUAGCUUUGCCCUAGAGGAAGUUUUUAUUGUUCAUUAAUUUUCAGUGGAAAAUAUACCCUUCCAGGAGGCUCUGCAGCUUUAGCAGUUCACUUACUGUUUGUAUGGGUUUGAGGGCUCAGGGAUUAUUUUAGAUAGUUAACAGUCACAAACUGUUGCAGGUCAGGUUUGGAGUUUUUGUUUUUGUUUUGUUUUUUGACAAAAUGACUUCCUAAAAACUUAGUGUAAGUUUCUAGUCUGUUUUCUUCAAUCAUUUCUGUCAGUAACCAUAAUCAAAGAACUUGCCAAGAUAAUAGCUUUCAACACGGAAGAACCUCAUCUUUUAUUUGGCAGCCUCUUUGCUCUCCCCUCCCCUUGGGUCUUAAAUGAAUGAUACCUAAUUGAGACCAUUUUAAACUAUAGGCUUGGAUGAGAUGGCCACAGUCUUAAUCUAAUUUUUUUCCCUAGGAUGGCUGCUAUUACUUAGCAGAAAGAUUCUUAAGGGAAGGUUCUUGAAAAAAAGUUGAAGAAGCUACUAAAGCUACUUUCUUAGAAUCUUAUGAAAACUGUUUCAGUCUGAAGUACAGAAGUAGUUGACUUUUUCAGUUCUUCAGGACUCCAGAUCUGGGACUCUUGUCAAUUUAUAUUAUAAACAGACAGCAAUUCUCUCAGCAAAGCUAUAUUCUCUUGCAUCUCUGCAGACUUGUUAACUUAGCCUGAGUCACAUCUCUCUUCUAGGACUUUGCUGAAAAAGGCAAGAAGCAGCCAACACAUGCUAGCAUUCUGAAGUUCUACCACCACUUUCUCUAACACCUGAAUUUCAGUUAGCAUGAAGUCUCACUGUCCAAAGCCCUACCUCCUCAACUAAGCCAACUCCAUAUUUAAGAUUCUUUCACUUGCUCUGUACCCUACUUCUAGCUACCAAAAAUUCUGUGUAGGUUAAGAUUCUUGGUUGUAGGCAAUGAAAUUAUCUUUAGCUAUUAAACAGAAAGGGAUUUACUGAGAGGUAUACAUAGCUCACAGAAUCUUUGGGAGGGCUGAAGAAACAGGGCUGAGCUUCUUGGAACCACAUCACAAGAAUGGACUGCCAAAGGAGCUGCUGCUUCUGGACCAGUCAAGAAGCUGCCUUCCAGAUCAGGAAGCUGCCUGUUGGAUUAGGAAGCUGUGAACAGUUGCCAGCUCCAGAGCUACAGCACCACUGCCACCCUUUGUGUCAGCAAAAUUGGAUACCUCAUGUCCUGCCUCUCGCCCCAUGUAACUCAAUUCUGAGUAAAAGUCUCAACUGUGCAGUACAAUCAAGAAGAAAUAGAAAAAGAGCCAGAGUUAGAUGAUGAACUUCAUCGUUUC